RNAcentral lists this ribosomal RNA (253 nucleotides) under uncultured bacterium. RNAcentral describes it as "partial 16S ribosomal RNA". It matches the Rfam family "Bacterial small subunit ribosomal RNA", at positions 524 to 776 of the family's 1533-position model. The record is from RNAcentral.
UACGUAGGGUGCGAGCGUUGCCCGGAUUUAUUGGGCGUAAAGGGCGCGUAGGCGGUCACGCACGUCCGUUGUGAAAUCGCUCGGCUCAACUGGGCGGGGUCAGCGGAUACGGUGUGACUGGAGCAAGCUAGGGGGCAAUGGAAUUCCCGGUGUAGUGGUGGAAUGCGUAGAUAUCGGGAGGAACACCAGUGGCGAAGGCGGUUGCCUGGAGCUUUGCUGACGCUCAUGCGCGAAAGCGUGGGGAGCGAUCCGG